RNAcentral lists this unclassified non-coding RNA (349 nucleotides) under uncultured Mortierella. Its description in RNAcentral is "sequence contains ITS2". Lineage: Eukaryota; Fungi; Mortierellomycota; Mortierellomycetes; Mortierellales; Mortierellaceae. The record is from RNAcentral.
AACGCAUAUUGCGCUCUUUGGUAUUCCGAAGAGCAUGCUUGUUUGAGUAUCAGUAAACACCUCAAAUCUUUUUUUUUUUUUUUUAAAAAAAAAGUUUUGGACUUGAGCAAUCCCAACACCAAUCUUUUUUAGAUCGGUGGCGGGUUGCUUGAAAUGCAGGUGCAGCUGGACAUUCUCCUGAGCUAAAAGCAUAUUUAUUUAGUCCCGUCAAACGGAUUAUUACUUUUGCUGCAGCUAAUAUAAAGGGAGUUUGACCGUAUUGGCUGACUGAUGCAGGAUUUCACAAGGGUCGGCAACGAUUCUUGUAAAACUCGAUCUCAAAUCAAGUAAGACUACCCGCUGAACUUAA